GCGAGUUCCACUUACUUAACCUCCCCCUCCAACCAGCCCUCAGUACCACCACUGUGUUGGCUAAGCCUCAGCCUUUGCAGUAACUGUGGUGGUAAUUGCUCCGACACCGAAAGAAUGCAGUGACACCAAGCUGAGAACUGACAUCCACCAAGUGAAUGGGGAAGAAGGGGCAGGCUUGGAGUUGAAGUGGCCCAGUAGAGUUCAAAGAGAUCAUUGGCACUGAAGUUACGAGUGAAGGGUCUUAGUUGUCACAUUUAAGAAGCCAUUUAGGAAAACUUUUAAGCAGCUAAGAACAAAGGCUUUUGGACUUGAAAAACCCCAAUCCAGACACCUUCGUCCUUCCUGGCUGCAGGAUCCUGUGCACGUUGAGCUCUUUGAAUCUGCUCCUGUGUCAGCAGGUAACAAUACCCACCUCCCAGGAAAGGGGAAUGAGGAGAAAACUAAUUGGGAGAACAUGUGUGAAGUGCUCAGCCCAGUCCUGGUA
Molecule: long non-coding RNA, 484 nt
Filed under: Equus asinus (donkey)
Lineage: Eukaryota; Metazoa; Chordata; Mammalia; Perissodactyla; Equidae
Description: lncRNA (ENSEASG00005034644.1)
Source: RNAcentral